GUGAUGCCCGUCCCACCCUGACGGUGCUGCCCCCCUCCAGAGAAGAGCUGCUGCAGGGGAAGGCCACGCUCAUGUGCCUGGCCAACAAGGGCUACCCCUCCGACUGGAGUCUGGCCUGGAAGGUGGACGGCAGCAGCAGCAGCAGCUGGGAGGAGAGCAAGAGCCCCGGGGUGCUGGAGAAGGACGGCCACUACAGCUGGAGCAGCACCCUGAGGCUCCCUGCAGACCAGUGGAGCAAGGUGGGCUCUGUGACCUGUGAGGCCACCCAGGGCUCCCAGACUCCGCUCUCAGAGACAGUGAGGAGAGACCAGUGUUCCCAGUCCUGACCUGACUCACCGGGACUCUGCUACUGGUUUCACUCUGCUACUGCUCUCACUCUGCACUCUGUAACCAUCUCUG
This is a non-coding RNA of Sebastes umbrosus (honeycomb rockfish), 399 nucleotides long. The record is from the annotation of a RefSeq genome assembly. Lineage: Eukaryota; Metazoa; Chordata; Actinopteri; Perciformes; Sebastidae.